AGUGAACGCUGGCGGUAGGCCUAACACAUGCAAGUCGAACGGCAGCACAGUAAGAGCUUGCUCUUACGGGUGGCGAGUGGCGGACGGGUGAGGAAUACAUCGGAAUCUACUUUUUCGUGGGGGAUAACGUAGGGAAACUUACGCUAAUACCGCAUACGACCUACGGGUGAAAGCAGGGGAUCUUCGGACCUUGCGCGAUUGAAUGAGCCGAUGUCGGAUUAGCUAGUUGGCGGGGUAAAGGCCCACCAAGGCGACGAUCCGUAGCUGGUCUGAGAGGAUGGGGAGCCACACUGGAAGUGAGACACGGUCCAGACUCAGACGGGAGGCAGCAGUGCGGAAUGUUGGACAAGGGCCGCAGGGCUGAACCAGCCAUACCGCGGGGGUGAAGAAGGCCGUCGGGUUGCAAAGCCCUUUUGUUGGGAAAGAAAAGCAGCAGGUUAAUACCCCGCUGGCCUGACGGUACGCAAAGAAUAAGCACCGGCUAACUUCGUG
Molecule: ribosomal RNA, 492 nt
Filed under: uncultured bacterium
Lineage: Bacteria
Description: partial 16S ribosomal RNA
Rfam family: Bacterial small subunit ribosomal RNA
Source: RNAcentral